CGACAAGCUAGUUAAGGGCGUAUGGGGGAUGCCUAGGCUCUCAGAGGCGAUGAAGGACGUGAUAAGCUGCGAAAAGCUGCGGGGAUUGGCACAUACGAUAUGAUCCGCAGAUGUCCGAAUGGGGCAACCCAUCACGUUGAAGGCGUGAUAUCNNGUAGCCGGAGGAGGAGAAAACAAUAGUGAUUCCGUGAGUAGUGGCGAGCGAAAGCGGAAGAGCCCAAACCAUUGUUGUUUCGGCAAUAAUGGGGUUGUAGGACCACGAUAUUCGAUGCAUAAUGAACCGGAACCAUCUGGAAAGUUGGACCAAAGGGGGUGAUAGUCCCGUAUGGGUAAGUUGAUGUUAUUGAUAGUGGUAUCCUGAGUAGCGCGGGGCACGUGAAACCCUGUGUGAAUCUGGCGGGACCAUCCGCCAAGGCUAAAUACUCCUGAGAGACCGAUAGUGAACCAGUACCGUGAGGGAAAGGUGAAAAGAACCCCGAACAGGGGAGUGAAAGAGAACCUGAAACCAUACGCUUACAAGCGGUCGGAGCUGUGCUUGCACAGUGACGGCGUGCCUUUUGCAUAAUGAGCCUACGAGUUACCGUUACUAGCGAGGUUAAGCCCUUCAGGGGCGGAGCCGGAGCGAAAGCGAGUCUGAAUAGGGCGCUAUAGUUAGUAGUGGUAGACGCGAAACCGUGUGAUCUACCCAUGGGCAGGUUGAAGCUGUGGUAACACAUAGUGGAGGACCGAACCCGUUGACGUUGAAAAGUCUUGGGAUGACCUGUGGGUAGGGGUGAAAGGCCAAUCAAACUCGGAAAUAGCUCGUACUCCCCGAAAUGCAUUUAGGUGCAGCGUUGAUUAAGAGUUUUAUAGAGGUAGAGCUACUGAUUGGAUGCGGGGGCUUCACCGCCUACCAAUUCCUGACAAACUCCGAAUGCUAUAAAAUGUUUAUCAGCAGUGAGGGCAUGGGUGCUAAGGUCCAUGUCCGAGAGGGAAACAACCCGGACCAUCAGCUAAGGUCCCCAAGUGUGUACUAAGUUGAUAAAACGCGGUGGAACUGCAUAGACAGCUAGGAUGUUGGCUUGGAAGCAGCCAUUCAUUUAAAGAGUGCGUAACAGCUCACUAGUCGAGCGGUUGGGCAUGGAUAAUAAUCGGGCAUAAGUAUACCACCGAAGCUAUGUAUUGUCGUUGAAGGAGAGCUGUGAGGCUUUCUGGAGGUUAUACAAACGAAAAUGUAGGCAUAAGUAACGAUAAUGUGGGCGAGAAACCCACACGCCAAAAGACCAAGGUUUCCCCGGCCAUGCUAAUCAGCCGGGGGUCAGUCGGGACCUAACGCGAACCCGAAGGGGAUAGUGGAUGGACAAGCGGUUAAUAUUCCGCUACCCGCACAGUGACAAAAGUGACGGAGGACAGGAGUUGGUGCGUGCUGACGGAAUAGCACGUUGAACCUGGGGUAACCCGGGGAUAGUACACCAAGGCUACGGCUGCGGUGAUAAUCCAGCGUAUGUUCUUCCAAGAAAAGCGAACUGUGCGGCCCGUACCGUAAACCGACACAGGUGGUUGGGAUGAGUAUUCUAAGGCGCUCGAGAGAUUCAUGGCUAAGGAACUAGGCAAAAUAGACCUGUAACUUCGGGAGAAAGGUCGCCCUCCUCCGGGAGGGCCGCAGUGAAGAGGUCCAGGCGACUGUUUAUCAAAAACACAGGGCUCUGCUAAAUCGAAAGAUGACGUAUAGGGCCUGACACCUGCCCGGUGCCGGAAGGUUAAGGGGAGAUGUUAUCCUUUUAGGUGAAGCAUUGAACUGAAGCCCCGGUAAACGGCGGCCGUAACUAUAACGGUCCUAAGGUAGCGA
Molecule: ribosomal RNA, 1828 nt
Filed under: Gammaproteobacteria bacterium
Lineage: Bacteria; Pseudomonadati; Pseudomonadota; Gammaproteobacteria
Description: partial 23S ribosomal RNA
Rfam family: Bacterial large subunit ribosomal RNA
Source: RNAcentral